Small nucleolar RNA from Pongo abelii (Sumatran orangutan), 88 nucleotides. The record is from Ensembl. NCBI's taxonomy places the organism in Eukaryota, Metazoa, Chordata, Mammalia, Primates, Hominidae.
AUCCUUUUGUAGUUAAUAAAUGUGAUGAUUGGGUUUUCACACUCAUGUGAGAUGUGCUUCCCUCAAACCUUGUUAUGAUGUCGUGAUA